This 253-nucleotide ribosomal RNA is filed under the name uncultured bacterium. RNAcentral's name for it is "partial 16S ribosomal RNA". It matches the Rfam family "Bacterial small subunit ribosomal RNA", at positions 524 to 776 of the family's 1533-position model. The record is from RNAcentral.
UACGGAGGAUCCAAGCGUUAUCCGAAUUUAUUGGGUUUAAAGGGUGCGUAGGCGGAAUAGUAAGUCAGUGGUGAAAGCCUGUUGCUUAACAACAGAACUGCCAUUGAUACUGCUAAUCUUGAGUACAUUUGAUGUGGGCGGAAUGUGUCAUGUAGCGGUGAAAUGCAUAGAUAUGACACAGAACACCGAUUGCGAAGGCAGCUCACAAAACUGUAACUGACGCUGAGGCACGAAAGCGUGGGGAUCGAACAGG